AAUUUUUUUCAAUCCUCCUCGUAUUAUUAUUUACAGACGAAAGAAAAAAAAGGAAAAAAAGAAAAGAAAAGAAAAAAAGAAAAUUAUUCUGGAUUUCAAUUCGUUCGUUCGUUCAUUCGUAUAUUUAAACGGUGCACAAUGCACACCACUGUAUAUGAUUGCACCAAUUGUUGCAAUUAUUUCAAUGAUCGUCGGGUAACGAUAAACGAAGACAACGUUCAAAUCACACGACAGUUUUAUUGAUGGUAGCUAAAAAUAGGGAUCGAUUUAAAAAUAAAAAAAUAAAAAAGAAAAGAAAGAAGAGGAAUAAAAAAAAAAAAGAAAAGAAAAAAAAAACAAGGAAAAAAAAAGAAAAGGAAAAAAGCAAUUUUUCCCGAUAACGUCUCGCUAUAUAUUGCGCCAUUAUACGAGAUGAAGCCUCAAAUGGUAGAGUCUCGUUUUAAUAUCCUCAACCACCAGACAUGGUUAUCGUAUUAUCGUUUAGCUUUCUAAUGGAUAUCGAACAGCGAUACGAGGAAAUUCUCAAGAGAUUUCAUGUUACUCUUUGAUGAAAGUAAAAAGCUUUUAAUUUCCGAUUAAAUAAUUAUAAAAAUGUAAAUAAUCAAUAUAUAUAAAUAUAAAAAAAAAAAAAAGAAAAGAAAAGAAAAGAAAAGAACAAAAAAAAAACUAGAUUCGUCAUAGUGAGAACGUUGUACGACGCAACCGAACGAAAUCAAUGAAUUUUCGAGGAAAAAAGUUAACGCACGCAUACAUAAAGAAACGAUUAAAAAUCGAUGUAUAGGAUCUUUUAUGAAUCAUUAUGAUAUCACAUUGGGUUAUCGAACGACUGUCAUACUACUACUAUUAUUACUACUACUACUAAUAGUAAUAGAAGUAGUAGUAGUAAUAGACUCCACCAACGACACGAAAUAAACGUCAAAAGCAUAAAUUUGUUAUAGGAUUAAAAUAACAUGAGUCGUCUAAUCAUAAAUAAAGAACAAUAUAAUUUACAUCGGACUUGAGAGAUAAAUAUGACGACAAUGACGACGACGACAACGACGACUAUGUGAGUCAAAUGAUAAAUAAAUAAAUAAAUAAAUAAAUAAAUAAAUAAAUAAAAAAAUCUAAUCGAAAGAUAAAAAUUAUUAAUUAUUGAUGAUAAAUAAUAAUUAAUCUCUAUAUUUCCAAGAUUCACGAGAAUAUUCUACGAUACGUGAUAAAUUAUUCGAACGAACGUACUCGUAUACGCGAAAUACUUUGAUAUAAGAUAUAGAGACAUAGAAAAUAAUAGGCCAAGAUCACAAACACAGCAAAUGCGAUGGUUACAAUUGGUUACCUUCCUUUUGAUCAUUCGAACAACAUGGCACACGUGUAAUCACGGAAAUUUAUGUAAGUCAUUCGAUCGGGAGAAAAAAAAAAAAGAAAACAUUUUGAUUAACAUCGUAGAUGAAUAUUUUAUUAAAAUAAAGAGAGUUGAACUCCCUUUAUUUUCAUUUUUUAUGCAAUCCAUAAAUCUAAUUAUUUGAGGGAACUGUACUAUAAUUACGAGUUCAGAGUAAGAGAAAGAGAUUGAUAUAUAUAUAUAUAUAGAGAGAGAAAGAGAGAGAGAAAGAGUGGUAUGAUUUUUAAUGAUAGCAGCAGAAAAAAGAAAUCACAAAAAAGGAAGUAACAUGUACUUAAGAGGUUGGUAAAUACGUACGAGUAUGGGUAUAUAACUACGUGGGGAAGAGAGAGAGAGAGAGAGAGAGAGAGAGAGAGAGAGAGAGAGAGAGAGAGAGAGAGAGAGAAACAGAUA
This is a long non-coding RNA of Vespa crabro (European hornet), 1774 nucleotides long. RefSeq lists it as uncharacterized. The transcript is spliced from 2 exons. NCBI's taxonomy places the organism in Eukaryota, Metazoa, Arthropoda, Insecta, Hymenoptera, Vespidae. The record is from RefSeq and is a predicted model, not a curated record.